AUUUCCUUCUCCGGGGGAUCUUCCUGACCCAGGGAUUGAACCUGGGUUUCCUGCAAUGACAGAUUCCCUAUCUCCGGCCAGUUACCAAGACAUGCCAGCCACACCUGCUCCCACUCAUCCCUUCCCUUGCCCACCAGUGUCUCAGAUAGUCAACAGCAAUGAAACCCACCCAGAAGUCCUGCUCCAGCUGGUUUUCAUGACUAUGUGAUUGACCCUGAAUUGAAACACGAUAAUGGAAUGCCUCUAAAUACACACUCUUCAUGGAAAA
Long non-coding RNA from Cervus elaphus (red deer), 268 nucleotides. RefSeq lists it as uncharacterized. The record is from RefSeq and is a predicted model, not a curated record. The transcript is spliced from 2 exons. NCBI's taxonomy places the organism in Eukaryota, Metazoa, Chordata, Mammalia, Artiodactyla, Cervidae.